AUGUGCGAAAGCGUGGGGAGCAAACAGGAUUAGAUACCCUGGUAGUCCACGCUGUAAACGCUGUCGAUUUGGGGAUUGGGCUUUAUGUUUGGUGCCCGUAGCUAACGUGAUAAAUCGACCGCCUGGGGAGUACGGCCGCAAGGUUAAAACUCAAAUGAAUUGACGGGGGCCCGCACAAGCGGUGGAGCAUGUGGUUUAAUUCGAUGCAACGCGAAGAACCUUACCUACUCUUGACAUCCUAAGAAGAACUCAGAGAUGAGUU
This 262-nucleotide ribosomal RNA is filed under the name Glaesserella parasuis. Its description in RNAcentral is "partial 16S ribosomal RNA". It matches the Rfam family "Bacterial small subunit ribosomal RNA", at positions 749 to 1012 of the family's 1533-position model. The record is from RNAcentral. Lineage: Bacteria; Pseudomonadati; Pseudomonadota; Gammaproteobacteria; Pasteurellales; Pasteurellaceae.